Molecule: long non-coding RNA, 8245 nt
Organism: Equus caballus (horse)
Lineage: Eukaryota; Metazoa; Chordata; Mammalia; Perissodactyla; Equidae
Source: Ensembl
UUUUAAUCCAUCAUGCUGGAUACCGGCGGGUACUGCAUUGACAAAACACAGUUUUAAAGGUGGAAAUACAAAAAUGACGGACAGUAAGUGUUGGUAGCAGGUGAGGGAAGACCAGGACGGUUGAAGCUUCCGGGCAGAGGUGGCCUUCGAGCUGAGCCUGGAAAGAGCGUCAGCCUCAGGAGACUGGAGACGGGGAGGGAGAUGGCGGGCUGGGCGCUGGGCAGGCCCACGUGUCGGGCAGGUUCUGGAGCCGGGUGGCGCUGGGCCCAGCGGGGCAGGAGGUCGAAGCCGACGAUAAGGUCCGAUAGGCAGGGCGGGGCCCGAUGGUGGAGGCGCUCGAAUUCCAGGCUCGGCUUUUGGACUUUACCCCGCAGACAACGGGGAGCCACCGGCGUUUCCGAGCAGGGCAGGGCGGCCCCAGCGGUCGCCCCCAGCGGUCGCCCCAUUGUUUUUUCCCAGACGGGGCCGACCCCUGCAGUUCUUCAGCGAGACCACUAGAUGGAGGAUCAACUGUUUGAAGAUGGCGGUUGCCAGGACUCCUGAGGCGAAGAAGGGAUCAGAGGAAGCGGGCAGCUCCCCACCUGCGAAACACAGGCCUGGGCUCUGUUGUCGUGGGAAGGUGGCUUGUGGGGUCCAGCUCACCAGCAUUUCCAGACUGUGUCCGGAGCUCUGAAUCCCUUGUUCCAAGCUUUCUGCCCAAGAAGAUGGAGCUGGAGACAGGAACUGAGGUCUAGAGAGAAUCAGGAAUUUGCCCAGGGCACCAGAGGGCCAGAAGCAGACUCCAGACCUCCGGAUUCUCUCCACACGGUGCUGCCCCCGAGCGAGGCUACAAGAGCCGCCUUCUCAUUCAUCCAGCCCCUACCACGUGAGGCCUCAUGCCAGAGGUUAGGACUGCCAGAUAAACCCAAUGCCGUAUCUGAUGUCAAGGUUCUCAUGGUCUAGCAGGCCCGGGUGCUCUCAUAAAUGUGGCACCCUCCCAGACCACAGCUACGCAGGGCCCCUCUCUGGUGCCUCUCCUUCUGCUUCUUUGGGCUACUCCACUUGCACCCUCCUCUCCACUCUCCAAGUCCUCUCUAGCAACGGCUCUCCACCUUGUACAGGUCAGAGACCCCCUAGGAGAGUCUAAGGAAAGGCUUGAAAAAUGCACAAGGACAUAAACGUUCCAAAAGUGGAAAGCGCUGUGGAGUUUCACAGACCCCCGCCUUGCCCCCCGCCCCCAAAGCUGCUUUCACUUGGAACGCAACGGAAGAGGGCAAUUCCAAGACAACGAGAGAGGCAGCCACCCCAGAAGGUGUCAGCCACACUUUGUAAAUGCCCAAGGAAAGGGCAGGCAGUCCAAGGACGCACAGGAAACAGGAAUGACGGUUGCCUCGAGAGUUCAAGCACGCAACCAAGGAGGAUCCUAGGCCAGAGGGAGCCCUAGGCUGUAAUACAGAUGAAAUGAAGGAGAACUUCCCAUAUAACCCACAGGGCGAUAAGUCCACCUGGAAUGUUUGUUGAAGAGCUGGGUAGGGAAAGUUGGCCCAACUGUAGAAAGCCCUAUCAGCAGCCAUCAGCAAAGGCCAAAACAGAUAAAAAGAAAAAGUAUGCAAUCUCAAAGACUGGAGAAUUCGAGAGCUCACACUUAUUUGCCCUUGUGUGACAUGACCUCCCUAAGUCAUAGGUUGCUCACCUGUGAAAUGGAGGAAGCAGCGCUAACCUUGCAAGGACAUUGAGCAGUCUGAUGAUAACGUGCCCAGAGCUAGCAUGGCAGCUGGCAGGGACUGUGCACUCAACAACGCCAGCUACUCUUACCAGUACUACCUGGCAGUGACGCAAACUGACUUUUUGGACUUAUUACGUGAAGAUGAAAAUGAAGUGUACAUAGAAAAAUGAUCUGUAGCUAUCUCUAAGAGUGGGCCCAACCCAAUAUCUCUUAAAUAGAUAAAGCUUUCAAAAUUGAGAUUUUGGUUUUGAGUCUGCUCAAAUGGGAGGUAGAGUGGAAGAUGCGGGGGGGGGGGGGGGAGGCGGGGUCAAAGAAGAAUGGGACGGGCCGGGAUCUCAGGAGCUAAAUGCCUGGCUGCUGGGGUUUUCUUCAAUAAGAAAGUUCAGGAACUACUUCCAACAGGCACCUGAACCUAUGACUUAUCCAUUAUUAAUGACCCCGAAAGACACCCAACCAACCACGAAAUAAAACCACUCAUCUAAAUAUUCUAAAUAUUGAGCCAAAAAGACUUUCUUCUUCCUUCCUUCCCUCCCAUCCUCUCAAUGUAAAGUCCCCUUUCUGCCUGGUGAUUUUCCAAAUCUAACUCUUCAGGACAGAAAUGCCUGUGGUGUUUCUCUCCCCUUCUUCUCGCCGUCGUGGGGUGAACACCCUGCUCCUCUGUGCUCCUGAUCUGCAGCCAGGGGGACUGGCCUGAGAGUCACGGGGCUGAAUAGCCCACUUCUGGCUGUCUGACCCUCGGGCAAGUCCUGUGAGCAGGUGACACUUCAGGCCCUUCCGGCUCUGCCAUUGUGACCCCAGCGAGGCCACCUGCGGGUCUGGAGCCUGACCGACUGGAGUUCCAGUCCCCAUCCCACCACUUACAGCUGGGUGGCCUUAAGCAAGGGACACAACCACCAGUGGGUACACAGGGGUGUAAUACUGGGACGUCCCCUUUAGGGUUGUGGUGGAGAUUAAAUGAGACGCCACAUACAUACCAGGUUUACACAUGUGCUGGCACAUAGUAAGCGCUCCAUAAACGUUCCCCACUAUUGCUUUUAUGCAAAAGAGGGUGCAAUGGCACAUCAGAUGAGUCUCACACUGACUGUGGGGCCCCACCCCAGUGUCCGCUCUCCGCCAGUGCAGAAAUGCUGCAGCUCUAUCGGCCAGUGCUGUGGCACCUCGUGAUCUAACACUUGUGAAAGAGCGAGGUGCAGUGGCUUCUAGAGAAGCUCAUUCCAGGUCAGGGCCAGGUCCCUGCCUGGGCUUCCUGGAGUCCCCCAUCUUGCUGCAGGGGUGGACAUGUCAAGCCAAGCAGGUUGUGUAAAUGAGUAAAUCCCAUGUGCCUAACAGCGGGCUGGAGAGCACAUGCCCAGCCUACAGGCACAGAGAUCAAAUAAUGUUUUCAAACGCUGCCAGCCAAACAAGAUUCCACAGCCCGAUUCAAUCUGCAGGCCUAAUUAUGGGACUCCUCGCGCUGCGUGACUGCUUGCGUCAAGCUUGAGUCAUGUCCUCAUCGCCACUAUGUACGUGUGCGUGUACCUGCUUUAUUGAGCUAUAACUCACAUACCAUCCAAUUCACUCUUUUAAAGUAUACAACUGAGCAUUUUUAAAAAUAUAUUCACAGACUUGUGCAAGCAUCACCACAAUCAAUUUGAGAACAUUUUCAGCACCCCAAAAAAAACGCCCCUACCCAUUAGUGGUUAUUCCUCAUUCUUUCCUCCUUCCAGCCCCGGGCAGCCAUGAAUCUACUUUGUGUCUCUAUAGAUUUGCCUAUUCUGGACAUUUCAUCUAAAUGGAGUCCUACAAUAUGUGGUCUUUCAUCGCUCCCUUCUUUCACUUGGCAGAAUGUUUUCAAGGUUCAUACACGUUAUAACAUCUAUCAGUACUUCAUUCCUUUUUUAUGGCCAAAUAUAAUUCCAUUGCAUAGACAGACCACAUUUUGUUGAUCCAUUCAGCUAUUGAUGGACAUUUCAGUUGCUUCCACUUUUUGGCUUACAUGAAUAAUGCUGCUCUGAGCAUUCGUGUACAAGUCUUUGAGUAGAUAUCUGUUUUCAUUUCACUUUUGAAAGGACCUAGGAGUGGAUGGCUGGGUCAUAUGGUAAAGUGCACAUUUAACUUUCUAAUACACUGCCAAAGUGUGUUCCCACGUGCUGUACUGUAUCAUUUUGCAUUCCCAUCAGAAGCGUAUGAGUGUUUUAGUCAUUCCACAUCCUCACCAACACUUGCUAUGGUCAGUCUUUUUAGUGUUAGUCAUUCUGAUGAAGGAAUAGACGUGUCUGGUAGUUUUCAUUUGCAUUUCCAUGUCCUUACUCUGAACCACCACGGGCAGCUGCCUGGCCCUGCAUCGGACACACGAUGAAGAAGAGACAGCUCCAGCCGUUGAGGGAGCUGGCCUCGGAGGCCUCGGUUACUGCAUUAGCCUCCUAUGCAAAGGUUGUCUCCGCUGAUCCAUCAGGGUAAACAAAGAGUAGGUUGGUAGUGCAAAAUCUGGAAAUCCGGUGAAGAAACGAGCGAGCGUUUGGGUGGGUGGUGGAGGGAGCGGGGCAGGGGCAAAGCUGAGAGCUGACUUCGCAGUUCGCAGGUUGGCUGCCUUUGUUUUCUCAGCACGUUGGAAUCUCCUGGCUACCAGCCUUUUAUUUCCUUUAAUUAGCCUUCCCCACUGACGGCGACAGGUCAAGAUUUCUAGGAAGUGCUCCAGACUCUGCCUGACAGACAUACGUCCCAGGAGUUCAUUCCUCGGGGCUGAAAUGCAUCCUAUUUCUCACCCUUGGAGCUGACUUAGGGGCUGGCAGGACAGCUGUGCUUCUGGUGCUUUGACUCUUCAUCCCCUGCUUUACCUCCAAGAAGAAAGAAGUGUAUUAUUUACAAAAUAUCUCUAUCGCGUAGAAAAUAUCUCCCUGGGAAGAAUUAAACAGUUACACAUUAAAACCUUUUAAAAAUGCAGGCAUGCGUGAGCUGCCAUUAGUGCACCGGCCUCCGCAGACCUAUUUGGAGUCUAUUUGGUAGAAAAACAAACUACUAAAGCUUCAAGGCAAAGUUGGCUCCCUUAAAGGACACUUGGCUGUAAAUCUGGGCACCGUGAGCAAUUCCUUAAAUACCAACAACUCGCACGGUCACCAUUUUGGGGAAGGAAAUUUCCUAAAUGUGGUGAGGAAAUUUUAAGAGUUCGGAGCAAAGUACUGAGAAAUCAGUUCCUAACCUAUUAAGCUUGUGGUCCCGAGUAGGAGACAGGUCUAUGAAGAAGUAAAUGAUAAGAUGCUGUGAUAGCUGUUAUGACAGAGAGAUGGACAGAGCAUUGCGGAAGCACGGGAGAGAAAGCAACUGUUUGGAGGAUGGUUUGGGCUAUCUUGACAGAAAAGGAGACACUAACGUCGGGCUUUGAAGGAUGAGCAGAAGUUUGUUAGAAUAUAACAGAAGGAAAAAACGAACAAUCAGAAGAGCAUGCAUAAGGCAGUAAGAUGUGAAACCAUGGCAGGUUCAGGAAACUGUGGGUCCUUGAGUGAGUCUGAAGCGUCGAGUGGGUGAGAGAAAUGGUGAGAGGGAAGCUGGUGAGCUCGGCACAGGCCAGAUCCUAAAGAACCUUGAGGACCAAGAGAAGGAGUUUGGACCUAAGCUACUGAAGUGUUUCAAGCAGGACUGUGACCUGGUCAGAGUAUGUUGUUGAGAGAGCACCCUGGUUACCACGAGGGGAAGGAAUGCACAGAGCAGGGCUGGGAGCAAUUGCACGAGGUGCCGCGCAUGGCCCGUGGAUGUGUGAUGUGCCAACACCAUGCCAGCUACCUGAGACUGGAAGUGAGCUGGCAGCACCCCCAGGUGAAACUAGGGCCUGCUGGGGCCCGAGGGAGGGGUGCCCACUGCACCACCAAUGGACCCUUCCCAGAUCAAAACCCACAACCAGAAGGGGGACGUUGACUCUGUUCCUUCUUGGGGCAGAUCCCGGGACACCAUGUAUCACUGUGAUUCCAGGAUGGGAGAAUGGCCAGGGCUCAGCCGAGACUGCAACAACCCAAAAACUCCAGGCACUUUGCCCUUGGUAUCUGAACCCCCAACAGCCCCAUGUGUCCUAAGCCCGGAUGACAACCCAGCCCCCCUCACAGCCACAUCAUACCCGGGGAGGCAGGCAGGCCAGGGCUGGUUGGACCCCUUGCUUUGCCAGAGAAGGAAAUCGAAGUGGAGAGAGGGGCUGGGGCUUGCCCAAGCUCCCAGGAUUUAGAAAAGGUAGAGUCAGGACUUGGAUGAAGUCUUCAGAUCCCCAAGUCCAGGCUGCUUCUCACAAGGGGUCAGGAAAAUGAACACCAUGCUACAUGCUGUACAUACCUUUUCUUACUUUAAUUCUCACGACUACUCCCAUUUUGCAGAUGGGGAAACUGAGGUUCCAAACAGGUAGAUUACACGUGGUAAAAGGCCUGUCCAUUUGAUGCCCCACAGAUGCACCGAGCUGCCUUCCCAAAUCUGAAAACAGACUUGGACGGAAAUCUCCUUCUAUGCUGGCAGCAGUCAAGCAUCUUUGCUAAGUGAGGGCUGAUGGAGACACAGGCCUCUAGAGACGGUAAUACUUUCCGCACUGACACGGCAAAGGACUUGCAAAACACCACGGUAUUGAGAGGGGUUUUUGCAACUGAGCUCUUGUGACAAGGCAGAGGCCAUAAUGCUCAGGGACUGUGCUUCUUUUUAAGAAAAUCAUUUUUUCUCUUUUUGACAAAUAAUUCAGAUCCCAGGCCAGUGUCAGAGCAGCCAGAGGAAGUUGCCCUUCCCCCCGGCAGCACCCACUUCCUCAGGCCCGGCAGAGCGGCCUGGCUGCUAUCUCCCGGCCGCUGCGCUGAGCCAGUCCCAGGUACUCGGAGUUUGUUUUACGGAUGGGUCUGUCGUGAGUCAAUAUGAUAAUGUUUCCUGUGAGAACUUUAUUUCCCUGCAUUGUUUGCAAAGUCUGUGUGUGUGUCUGAGCACGUACUCCUAAUCGCGGGGGUGUUUGCUGUGCCCCGGUUACAGGACACCCCUGGGGGUGGGAGGUAGGGGCCCAGGGAGACCAGACUGGGGUUGUCCCCGUCCCCUCUGGUGGCAGGGAGAGGUGGGUGACUCACACGCUCAGGUCUCGCCUCCAGGCUGUGGUGGGCUGGCUCUCCUCUUGCUGGAAGCCACUUAAAUCAGUCAUCUCCAGUUGGGACAGACUUACUGUGGGCCCAAGCCACACUGGCUGCACCACCCCCAAGGGCUGCACCCGCCCAUGGCCCUCUGGGGCCGUCUGGGACACUUCUGAAUAGUCUCUUUAGGGCAGGAGCUGACCCUGUCUUUUAGCUUCUUGAUUUGCAGAUGGGGAAACCCAGAGAGGUUCCAUGACUCGUCUGAGCUAAAACAACCAGUGGGGAAGCACCUGGUGCAGCAGGAAAGCAGGGUCUUUGGAGCUAGCUGGUCCUGGGUUCAAAUUCCGACUCUGCCACUUGUCACCGGCCAGUUACUUCAUCAGUCUCAGUGGCUUCAAAUGCCAAAUGGGGUUAAUCAUACUCACCUUGCAGACAAGCUGUGAGCAAUGAUUCAGAAGACAGAGACAUAGCAUGUGCCACAGGAGAGUAGGGAGCAUUCUUUCUUCCCAUUUCCCCUGAGAUACAAGUCGGACGUGGGACUUGCAGGCAAGUGUUACACAGGAAAUGCCUCGGGCGAAGGCCAGGUGGGACCCCAGAGCCAACAACUGCACCUUGCUCACACGGGUCCUCCUCACACCAUUUAAUCAAAGCCAUUGGACUCCUGAGGUUUCCAGAACAAAGAGGAAAUGGCCCUGGUGCUAAGAGAUGGCUAUCAAUAUUAGUCAGUAGCUUAGCAAGAGUUUUAAAAGAAGAAGAAACUGUAAGUCGCUCAGUUCUCCUUAGCUUCUUAGCCCACUGCCCACUUCCUUCUCUGACCACCACCCCCCAUGGCACUCAGGGGUGCCCUCACAUUUGUGGUUGUGAACUUACCAGCUUUGGUGACAUCUCUUAAUUCUUUCAACUCUCAUUUCCAUCUUUUGCAGUUAUGGAACUUUCUGGUGGACACUUGUUCUGAUCUGCCCAGCAUCCCCUUCUUCUAGAAUCAGAACCCAGUUUUGGUUUGGAGCUUCUCCCCGCUUCACUAAAUGCAGUCUUUAUAGACUGUCAAUACAAGCGCCCAACUAUUUUUGGCCAAGGGAGGGCAUCCGACCCCAGCCAAGCCAAUUAGAUGCUCUUCUUGGGAGCUGAAUCUCGAGGGGAAUAACACAAGGACUGAAAAUGGUUAGAGCUGCUUCAUCCCAGAGAGGUUUCCUAAACACAUGAGCCAGGUCUGCUGUCUAGACCCCAGGGACUGCUUUCGAUCCAUUCUUUCCAUGGCAUGAUCUACAAGCCCUCUUGCUGAUAACGUCCCAGUAAAUUUCAUUUGCCUGAAAGUGACAGUUCUUGUCUGUUGCUUGCAACCAAAGCAUCCUAAGUAACACACAGUGUGCAUGUACACACUGAUAUCUUGCCUCCUUCACUUGUCUCAUGAGCAGGAACUGAGCCAUAUAUUCCUUCACUCAUUAAUUUAUUCAACAAACCAUUACCAAGUACUUACUCU